RNAcentral lists this ribosomal RNA (276 nucleotides) under uncultured bacterium. RNAcentral describes it as "partial 16S ribosomal RNA". It matches the Rfam family "Bacterial small subunit ribosomal RNA", at positions 335 to 608 of the family's 1533-position model. The record is from RNAcentral.
GAUCCUACGGGAGGCAGCAGUGAGGAAUAUUGGUCAAUGGUCGGGAGACUGAACCAGCCAAGCCGCGUGAGGGAUGAAGGUACAGAGUAUCGUAAACCUCUUUUGUCAGGGAACAAAGGCGGGGACGUGUCCCCGGAUGAGUGUACCUGAAGAAAAAGCAUCGGCUAACUCCGUGCCAGCAGCCGCGGUAAUACGGAGGAUGCGAGCGUUAUCCGGGUUUAUUGGGUUUAAAGAGGGCGCAGGCGGUCUGGUAAGUCAGCCGUCAAAGCCCGGGGC